ACGGGUGCGUAACGCGUGGGAAUCUGCCCUUAGGUACGGAAUAACUCAGGGAAACUUGUGCUAAUACCGUAUGAUGUCGAGAGACCAAAGAUUUAUCGCCUAGGGAUGAGCCCGCGUUGGAUUAGCUAGUUGGUGGGGUAAAGGCCUACCAAGGCUACGAUCCAUAGCUGGUCUGAGAGGAUGAUCAGCCACACUGGGACUGAGACACGGCCCAGACUCCUACGGGAGGCAGCAGUGGGGAAUAUUGGACAAUGGGCGAAAGCCUGAUCCAGCAAUGCCGCGUGAGUGAAGAAGGCCUUCGGGUUGUAAAGCUCUUUUACCCGGGAUGAUAAUGACAGUACCGGGAGAAUAAGCUCCGGCUAACUCCGUGCCAGCAGCCGCGGUAAUACGGAGGGAGCUAGCGUUGUUCGGAAUUACUGGGCGUAAAGCGUACGUAGGCGGCUUUGUAAGUCAGAGGUGAAAGCCCACGG
This 470-nucleotide ribosomal RNA is filed under the name uncultured Sphingomonas sp. RNAcentral describes it as "bacterial SSU rRNA". It matches the Rfam family "Bacterial small subunit ribosomal RNA", at positions 102 to 607 of the family's 1533-position model. Lineage: Bacteria; Pseudomonadati; Pseudomonadota; Alphaproteobacteria; Sphingomonadales; Sphingomonadaceae. The record is from RNAcentral.